AUUGAACGCUGGCGGCAGGCCUAACACAUGCAAGUCGAACGGUAACAGGAAGCAGCUUGCUGCUUUGCUGACGAGUGGCGGACGGGUGAGUAAUGUCUGGGAAACUGCCUGAUGGAGGGGGAUAACUACUGGAAACGGUAGCUAAUACCGCAUAACGUCGCAAGACCAAAGAGGGGGACCUUCGGGCCUCUUGCCAUCGGAUGUGCCCAGAUGGGAUUAGCUAGUAGGUGGGGUAACGGCUCACCUAGGCGACGAUCCCUAACUGGUCUGAGAGGAUGACCAGCCACACUGGAACUGAGACACGGUCCAGACUCCUACGGGAGGCAGCAGUGGGGAAUAUUGCACAAUGGGCGCAAGCCUGAUGCAGCCAUGCCGCGUGUAUGAAGAAGGCCUUCGGGUUGUAAAGUACUUUCAGCGGGGAGGAAGGGAGUAAAGUUAAUACCUUGGCUCAUUGACGUUACCCGCAGAAGAAGCACCGGCUAACUCCGUG
RNAcentral lists this ribosomal RNA (490 nucleotides) under uncultured bacterium. Its description in RNAcentral is "partial 16S ribosomal RNA". It matches the Rfam family "Bacterial small subunit ribosomal RNA", at positions 30 to 507 of the family's 1533-position model. The record is from RNAcentral.